GACGAACGCUGGCGGCGUGCUUAACACAUGCAAGUCGAACGGAAAGGCCCUGCUUUUGUGGGGUGCUCGAGUGGCGAACGGGUGAGUAACACGUGAGUAACCUGCCCUUGACUUUGGGAUAACUUCAGGAAACUGGGGCUAAUACCGGAUAGGAGCUCCUGCCGCAUGGUGGGGGUUUGAAAGUUUCGGCGGUUGGGGAUGGACUCGCGGCUUAUCAGCUUGUUGGUGGGGUAGUGGCUUACCAAGGCUUUGACGGGUAGCCGGCCUGAGAGGGUGACCGGCCACAUUGGGACUGAGAUACGGCCCAGACUCCUACGGGAGGCAGCAGUGGGGAAUAUUGCACAAUGGGCGGAAGCCUGGUGCAGCAACGCCGCGUGCGGGAUGACGGCCUUCGGGUUGUAAACCGCUUUCGCCUGUGACGAAGCGUGAGUGACGGUAAUGGGUAAAGAAGCACCGGCUAACUACGUG
Molecule: ribosomal RNA, 468 nt
Filed under: uncultured bacterium
Lineage: Bacteria
Description: partial 16S ribosomal RNA
Rfam family: Bacterial small subunit ribosomal RNA
Source: RNAcentral